This 555-nucleotide long non-coding RNA is filed under the name Rattus norvegicus (Norway rat). RNAcentral's name for it is "long non-coding RNA NONRATT010312". The record is from RNAcentral. Lineage: Eukaryota; Metazoa; Chordata; Mammalia; Rodentia; Muridae.
GGUUCGGUCCCCAGCUCCGAAAAAAAGAACCAAAAAAAAAAAAAAAAAAAAAACAAUAUUCAAAGAGUCUACAAAAUUGUCUUCUUGUAUAUAUCAUACAGUGUGGGUAUGGAAUGCAUACAUGCAUUUGUGUCUUCCAAGAAAUCUCUGUACCUGCUGCAGUUAGGCUAUAACUUAAAGAUUAUGACUGGGAGUAAUGCUCAUAGUUAAUUUGGUUUAUGUCAAAAAGUAAUUGCCUUUUGAGGUCUGGAUCCAGGAAAGGUCCGUGUGGACAUAUAAUUUUACAUAUCCAUGAUUUCUAGAGAUGUAUUAUUUAUUUCCUAGGCUCACCAACAGAUGCUAUAACCAUCUUCCGGUAGAUACCAGGCUGAGAGUGUCUAUUCUAUGGAAUGUGAAUGUCAGAAAUGUUCAAAAUAAAAGUUCUGUUAUCUAUACACAAUUCUAAUUUCAUGUGGCAAUCAAAAGUUGUAUAAGGAAAUUGUCAAUGUCUAAAACUUGAUUAUUUAUAGUUAAAGCUUUGUUUAAAUAAAGAUACCAAACUUCAAUUUCAUAAGU